GAUGAACGCUGGCGGCGUGCCUAAUACAUGCAAGUCGAACGAACAGACGAGGAGCUUGCUCCUCUGACGUUGGCGGCUGACGGGUGAGUAACACGUGGAUAACCUACCUAUAAGACUGGGAUAACUUCGGGAAACCGGAGCUAAUACCGGAUAAUAUAUUGAACCGCAUGGUUCAAUAGUGAAAGACGGUUUUGCUGUCACUUAUAGAUGGAUCCGCGCCGCAUUAGCUAGUUGGUAAGGUAACGGCUUACCAAGGCGACGAUGCGUAGCCGACCUGAGAGGGUGAUCGGCCACACUGGAACUGAGACACGGUCCAGACUCCUACGGGAGGCAGCAGUAGGGAAUCUUCCGCAAUGGGCGAAAGCCUGACGGAGCAACGCCGCGUGAGUGAUGAAGGUCUUCGGAUCGUAAAACUCUGUUAUUAGGGAAGAACAAAUGUGUAAGUAACUAUGCACGUCUUGACGGUACCUAAUCAGAAAGCCACGGCUAACUACGUG
RNAcentral lists this ribosomal RNA (497 nucleotides) under uncultured bacterium. Its description in RNAcentral is "partial 16S ribosomal RNA". It matches the Rfam family "Bacterial small subunit ribosomal RNA", at positions 28 to 507 of the family's 1533-position model. The record is from RNAcentral.